AGAGUUUGAUCAUGGCUCAGAUUGAACGCUGGCGGCAGGCCUAACACAUGCAAGUCGAGCGGUAGCACAGAGAGCUUGCUCUCGGGUGACGAGCGGCGGACGGGUGAGUAAUGUCUGGGAAACUGCCUGAUGGAGGGGGAUAACUACUGGAAACGGUAGCUAAUACCGCAUAACGUCGCAAGACCAAAGUGGGGGACCUUCGGGCCUCAUGCCAUCAGAUGUGCCCAGAUAGGAUUAGCUAGUAGGUGGGGUAACGGCUCACCUAGGCGACGAUCCCUAGCUGGUCUGAGAGGAUGACCAGCCACACUGGAACUGAGACACGGUCCAGACUCCUACGGGAGGCAGCAGUGGGGAAUAUUGCACAAUGGGCGCAAGCCUGAUGCAGCCAUGCCGCGUGUGUGAAGAAGGCCUUCGGGUUGUAAAGCACUUUCAGCGGGGAGGAAGGCGUUAAGGUUAAUAACCUUGGCGAUUGACGUUACCCGCAGAAGAAGCACCGGCUAACUCCGUGCCAGCAGCCGCGGUAAUACGGAGGGUGCAAGCGUUAAUCGGAAUUACUGGGCGUAAAGCGCACGCAGGCGGUCUGUCAAGUCGGAUGUGAAAUCCCCGGGCUCAACCUGGGAACUGCAUUCGAAACUGGCAGGCUAGAGUCUUGUAGAGGGGGGUAGAAUUCCAGGUGUAGCGGUGAAAUGCGUAGAGAUCUGGAGGAAUACCGGUGGCGAAGGCGGCCCCCUGGACAAAGACUGACGCUCAGGUGCGAAAGCGUGGGGAGCAAACAGGAUUAGAUACCCUGGUAGUCCACGCCGUAAACGAUGUCGAUUUGGAGGUUGUGCCCUUGAGGCGUGGCUUCCGGAGCUAACGCGUUAAAUCGACCGCCUGGGGAGUACGGCCGCAAGGUUAAAACUCAAAUGAAUUGACGGGGGCCCGCACAAGCGGUGGAGCAUGUGGUUUAAUUCGAUGCAACGCGAAGAACCUUACCUGGUCUUGACAUCCACAGAACUUUCCAGAGAUGGAUUGGUGCCUUCGGGAACUGUGAGACAGGUGCUGCAUGGCUGUCGUCAGCUCGUGUUGUGAAAUGUUGGGUUAAGUCCCGCAACGAGCGCAACCCUUAUCCUUUGUUGCCAGCGGUNGGCCGGGAACUCAAAGGAGACUGCCAGUGAUAAACUGGAGGAAGGUGGGGAUGACGUCAAGUCAUCAUGGCCCUUACGACCAGGGCUACACACGUGCUACAAUGGCAUAUACAAAGAGAAGCGACCUCGCGAGAGCAAGCGGACCUCAUAAAGUAUGUCGUAGUCCGGAUUGGAGUCUGCAACUCGACUCCAUGAAGUCGGAAUCGCUAGUAAUCGUAGAUCAGAAUGCUACGGUGAAUACGUUCCCGGGCCUUGUACACACCGCCCGUCACACCAUGGGAGUGGGUUGCAAAAGAAGUAGGUAGCUUAACCUUCGGGAGGGCGCUUACCACUUUGUGAUUCAUGACUGGGGUGAAGUCGUAACAAGGUAACCGUAGGGGAACCUGCGGUUGGAUCACCU
This 1527-nucleotide ribosomal RNA is filed under the name Klebsiella pneumoniae. RNAcentral's name for it is "bacterial SSU rRNA". It matches the Rfam family "Bacterial small subunit ribosomal RNA". Lineage: Bacteria; Pseudomonadati; Pseudomonadota; Gammaproteobacteria; Enterobacterales; Enterobacteriaceae. The record is from RNAcentral.